RNAcentral lists this ribosomal RNA (496 nucleotides) under uncultured bacterium. RNAcentral describes it as "partial 16S ribosomal RNA". It matches the Rfam family "Bacterial small subunit ribosomal RNA", at positions 28 to 506 of the family's 1533-position model. The record is from RNAcentral.
GAUGAACGCUGGCGGCGUGCCUAAUACAUGCCAGUCGAGCGAACAGACGAGGAGCUUGCUCCUCUGACGUUAGCGGCGGACGGGUGAGUAACACGUGGAUAACCUACCUAUAAGACUGGGAUAACUUCGGGAAACCGGAGCUAAUACCGGAUAAUAUAUUGAACCGCAUGGUUCAAUAGUGAAAGACGGUUUUGCUGUCACUUAUAGAUGGAUCCGCGCCGCAUUAGCUAGUUGGUAAGGUAACGGCUUACCAAGGCAACGAUGCGUAGCCGACCUGAGAGGGUGAUCGGCCACACUGGAACUGAGACACGGUCCAGACUCCUACGGGAGGCAGCAGUAGGGAAUCUUCCGCAAUGGGCGAAAGCCUGACGGAGCAACGCCGCGUGAGUGAUGAAGGUCUUCGGAUCGUAAAACUCUGUUAUUAGGGAAGAACAAAUGUGUAAGUAACUAUGCACGUCUUGACGGUACCUAAUCAGAAAGCCACGGCCAACUACGU